UCGAGAAUUUUUCACAAUGGGCGAAAGCCUGAUGGAGCGACGCCGCGUGGGGGACGAAGGGCUUCGGCUCGUAAACCCCUGUCAUUUGCGAACAAUGGCGCCAACCUAAUACGUUGUCGUCUGAUAGUAGCAGAAGAGGAAGGGACGGCUAACUCUGUGCCAGCAGCCGCGGUAAUACAGAGGUCCCAAGCGUUGUUCGGAUUCACUGGGCGUAAAGGGUGCGUAGGUGGUGAGCUAAGUUGGGUGUGAAAUCUCCGGGCUUAACCCGGAGGGUGCGCUCAAAACUGGUUCGCUCGAGGAUGGGAGGGGAGACUGGAAUUCUCGGUGUAGCAGUGAAAUGCGUAGAUAUCGAGAGGAACACCGGUGGCGAAGGCGAGUCUCUGGACCAUUCCUGACACUG
This 400-nucleotide ribosomal RNA is filed under the name uncultured bacterium. Its description in RNAcentral is "bacterial SSU rRNA". It matches the Rfam family "Bacterial small subunit ribosomal RNA", at positions 355 to 748 of the family's 1533-position model. The record is from RNAcentral.